GGUGUUGUGAUUUAGUGGUAGAGUGCUCUCCUAGCUCGUGUGAGGCCCUGGGUUCGAUCCUCAGCACCACUU
RNAcentral lists this transfer RNA (72 nucleotides) under Marmota monax (woodchuck). It matches the Rfam family "tRNA". From Rfam's summary of the family: Transfer RNA (tRNA) molecules are approximately 80 nucleotides in length. Their secondary structure includes four short double-helical elements and three loops (D, anti-codon, and T loops). Lineage: Eukaryota; Metazoa; Chordata; Mammalia; Rodentia; Sciuridae. The record is from Rfam by way of RNAcentral.